ACUUGGUAAAAGAAGAUCCUAAGAAGCCAAGAGGCAAAAGGUCAUCAUAUGCAUUCUUUGUGCAAACUUCCAGGAGGAGAACAAGAAGCAGCACUCAUGCUUCAGUUAACUUCUCGGAAUUUUCUAAAAAAUGCUCAGAGAGGUGGAAAGCCGUAUCUGCUAAAGAGAAAGGAAAAUCUGAAGACAUGGCAAAGGGGGACAAGGAUGGCUAUUAAAGAGAAACUUACAUCCCUCCUAAAGAAGAAACAAAAAAGUUUAGGGAUCCCAAUGUACCCAAGAGGGCUCCUUCAGUCUUUUCAUUUUGCCCUGAGUACUGCCCAAAAAUCUAAGGAGAAUAUCCAAACCUAUCCAUUCGUGAUGUUUCAAAGAAACUGGGAAAGAUGUGGAUAUGGUGCAUAUGACAAGCAGCCUUAUGAAAAGGCUGUGAAGCUGAAGAAAAACUAAGAAAUGGAUAUUGCUGCAUACUGAGCUAAAGGAAGGCCUCAUGCAGCAAAAAAAAAAAAAAAAAAAAAAAAGGGAGAUGUCAAUGCUGAAAAAAAAAGAAGAGGAAGGUGAGGAAGUUGAAAAUAAGAAGGAAAAGGAGGAAGAUGAAGAGGAUGAGGAAGAGAAGAAAGAUGAAGAUGAUCAUAAUGAAUAAG
Molecule: long non-coding RNA, 638 nt
Filed under: Homo sapiens (human)
Lineage: Eukaryota; Metazoa; Chordata; Mammalia; Primates; Hominidae
Description: non-protein coding lnc-MINDY2-5:1
Source: RNAcentral